GCAACCUAAAUGUAUUUUAGUUUAGCUGUAGUUUACAGUAAUUACAAGUAGUUAUUCGGUGUGAAUUGAAAUUUCUGGGACUGCAGAAUAAAAUGUGAUGUGUAAGAGUGCAGACACAGGAUAAUACCAAAGGUCCCACACAAGUAACACAAAUUGCAUAUAAUGUAACCACACAACCACAAAUUACAAUCAUAACAUAUCACAGUCAAUCAGUGAGCACAAAUUACAAUGAUAA
Oxyura jamaicensis (ruddy duck) is the source of this 235-nucleotide long non-coding RNA. RefSeq lists it as uncharacterized. The transcript has 3 exons. The record is from RefSeq and is a predicted model, not a curated record. NCBI's taxonomy places the organism in Eukaryota, Metazoa, Chordata, Aves, Anseriformes, Anatidae.